RNAcentral lists this ribosomal RNA (501 nucleotides) under uncultured bacterium. Its description in RNAcentral is "bacterial SSU rRNA". It matches the Rfam family "Bacterial small subunit ribosomal RNA", at positions 32 to 510 of the family's 1533-position model. The record is from RNAcentral.
AAUCAACGCUGGCGGCGUGCCUAACACAUGCAAGUCGAACGCGAAAGCCCCUUCGGGGGCAAGUAGAGUGGCGUCCGGGUGAGUAACACGUGGGUAAUCUACCUCCGGGUGGGGAAUAACUCGCCGAAAGGCGGGCUAAUACCGCAUAAUGCAGCGGCACCGAAUGGUGAUUAGUUGUUAAAGCGGGGGACCUUGGGGCCUCGCGUCUGGAGAGGAGCCUGCGGCAGAUUAGCUUGUUGGUAGGGAAUGGCCUACCAAGGCUGCGAUCUGUAGCUGGUCUGAGAGGACGGCCAGCCACACUGGCACUGACACACGGGCCAGACUCCUACGGGAGGCAGCAGUGGGAAUUUUGGGCAAUGGGCGAAAGCCUGACCCAGCAACGCCGCGUGAAGGAGGAAAUCCUUCGGGAUGUAAACUUCACAAGCAAGGGAAGAGCGCGCAGGGUCGAAUAAACUCUGCGUCCGACGGUACCUUGCGUAAGCCACGGCUAACUACGUGCCA